UUUAAAAGUCAGAUGGAAAAAAGCAACUGAAGUCCUAGAAAAUAGAAAUGUAAUUUUAAACUAUCCAAUAAAGCUGGAGGAGGAAGAGAGGAAAAAACAAAACAAGAU
Long non-coding RNA from Lontra canadensis (Northern American river otter), 108 nucleotides. RefSeq lists it as uncharacterized. The record is from RefSeq and is a predicted model, not a curated record. The transcript is spliced from 3 exons. NCBI's taxonomy places the organism in Eukaryota, Metazoa, Chordata, Mammalia, Carnivora, Mustelidae.